CCCUUAGAUGUUCUGGGCUGCACGCGUGCUACACUGAUAGAAUCAACAAGUAUACAACCUUGUCCGAAAGGACCGGGUAAUCAUUUGAAAUUCUAUCGUGGCUGGGGAUAGACGAUUGCAAUUAUUUGUCUUGAACGAGGAAUGCCUAGUAGGGGCAAGUCAUCAGCUUGCCCCGAUUACGUCCCUGCCCUUUGUACACACCGCCCGUCGCUCCUACCGAUUGGAUUGCCCGGUGAAAUCUUCGGAUUGUGAGUUUGUUCAUGGCUAGUUCGCUAGUCGUGACUCUUGUGAAAAGUUGAUUAAACCUUGUAAUCUAGAGGAAGGAGAAGUCGUANCA
This 337-nucleotide ribosomal RNA is filed under the name uncultured eukaryote. RNAcentral describes it as "partial 18S ribosomal RNA". It matches the Rfam family "Eukaryotic small subunit ribosomal RNA", at positions 1470 to 1796 of the family's 1831-position model. The record is from RNAcentral.